This 76-nucleotide transfer RNA is filed under the name Acidaminococcus sp. CAG:917. RNAcentral describes it as "transfer RNA-Ala(TGC)". It matches the Rfam family "tRNA". From Rfam's summary of the family: Transfer RNA (tRNA) molecules are approximately 80 nucleotides in length. Their secondary structure includes four short double-helical elements and three loops (D, anti-codon, and T loops). The record is from RNAcentral. Lineage: Bacteria; Bacillati; Bacillota; Negativicutes; Acidaminococcales; Acidaminococcaceae.
GGGGGUAUAGCUCAGUUGGUAGAGCGCUUGAUUUGCAUUCAAGAGGUCAACGGUUCGAACCCGUUUAUCUCCACCA